GGGUUCCGGGAAGCCUCCGGUACCUCCCGCACCUCCGGGAGGCGGCGGCGCUGAGGAACGGCCCCGGCACGGCUGCGGGGGGAAGCCGCCGGGGCAGCGUUUCCCCCUGCCGGAAAGGGGCUGGGAAGGCCCGACUGAUUGACAGAUCGCCCAGCCAACGGCAAGAAGAGGCAGCACCUCUGUUCAGAACGCUGCCUCAAGAUUGGCCGGCUCGCCCGUCAAUCUCACGGCAAGCCGCGAGCCGAUUGGCGGCGAGGCGCGGCGGGGGCGGUGCCGCCCAGCAGCGGCAGCAACAGCCUGCGCUGUGGGGGCAGCGGCGCUGUCACAUCCGCCGGGGCCGGCCUCGGGGAUGCCUGAGGGGAGCGGGGCUGCGGGGUCGGGCAGCGCCCGGCUCCCCCCGGGGGACCUGGCCCCAGCCGGCGGAGGAGGUGCCGGGCACGGCUCCGCGUCGCCCUCAGGCCCGCCCGUGCCCCCUUCCCUGCUCUGGUGGAAGAAAUAAAAGCUCCCUGUAACCAGGA
Long non-coding RNA from Cygnus atratus (black swan), 518 nucleotides. RefSeq lists it as uncharacterized. The record is from RefSeq and is a predicted model, not a curated record. The transcript has 2 exons. NCBI's taxonomy places the organism in Eukaryota, Metazoa, Chordata, Aves, Anseriformes, Anatidae.